GAUGAACGCUGACAGAAUGCUUAACACAUGCAAGUCAACUUGAACUUCGGUUUGGGUGGCGGACGGGUGAGUAACGCGUAAAGAACUUGCCUCACAGCUAGGGACAACAUUUGGAAACGAAUGCUAAUACCUGAUAUUAUGAUUUUAGGGCAUCCUAGAAUUAUGAAAGCUAUAUGCGCUGUGAGAGAGCUUUGCGUCCCAUUAGCUAGUUGGAGAGGUAACGGCUCACCAAGGCGAUGAUGGGUAGCCGGCCUGAGAGGGUGAACGGCCACAAGGGGACUGAGACACGGCCCUUACUCCUACGGGAGGCAGCAGUGGGGAAUAUUGGACAAUGGACCAAGAGUCUGACCCAGCAAUUCUGUGUGCACGAUGAAGUUUUUCGGAAUGUAAAGUGCUUUCAGUUGGGAAGAAAAAAAUGACGGUACCAACAGAAGAAGUGACGGCUAAAUACGUG
This 454-nucleotide ribosomal RNA is filed under the name uncultured bacterium. RNAcentral describes it as "partial 16S ribosomal RNA". It matches the Rfam family "Bacterial small subunit ribosomal RNA", at positions 28 to 507 of the family's 1533-position model. The record is from RNAcentral.